AACGAACGCUGGCGGCAGGCUUAACACAUGCAAGUCGAGCGCUCGUAGCAAUACGAGAGCGGCAGACGGGUGAGUAACGCGUGGGAACAUACCCUUAGGUUCGGAAUAACUCAGGGAAACUUGAGCUAAUACCGGAUAUCGUCGAGAGGCGAAAGAUUUAUCGCCUAGGGAUUGGCCCGCGUUCGAUUAGCUAGUUGGUGAGGUAAUGGCUCACCAAGGCGACGAUCGAUAGCUGGUCUGAGAGGAUGAUCAGCCACAUUGGGACUGAGACACGGCCCAAACUCCUACGGGAGGCAGCAGUGGGGAAUAUUGGACAAUGGGCGCAAGCCUGAUCCAGCCAUGCCGCGUGAGUGAUGAAGGCCUUAGGGUUGUAAAGCUCUUUCACCCACGACGAUAAUGRCGGUAGUGGGAGAAGAAGC
Molecule: ribosomal RNA, 419 nt
Filed under: bacterium Ellin356
Lineage: Bacteria; Pseudomonadati; Pseudomonadota; Alphaproteobacteria
Description: bacterial SSU rRNA
Rfam family: Bacterial small subunit ribosomal RNA
Source: RNAcentral